UCCUGGAUUCAGCGGCGGACGGGUGAGUAAUGCCUAGGAAUCUGCCUGGUAGUGGGGGAUAACGUCCGGAAACGGGCGCUAAUACCGCAUACGUCCUGAGGGGGAAAGUGGGGGAUCUUCGGACCUCACGCUAUCAGAUGAGCCUAGGUCGGAUUACCUAGUUGGUGGGGUAAAGGCCUACCAAGGCGACAAUCCGUAACUGGUCUGAGAGGAUGAUCAGUCACACUGGAACUGAGACACGGUCCAGACUCCUACGGGAGGCAGCAGUGGGGAAUAUUGGACAUUGGGCGAAGGCCUGAUCCAGCCUUGCCGCGUGUGUGAAGAAGGUCUUCGGAUUGUAAAGCACUUUAAGUUGGGAGGAAGGGCAGUAAGUUAAUACCUUGCUGUUUUGACGUUACCAACACAAUAAGCACCGGCUCACUUCGUGCCAUCAGCCGCGGUAAUACGAAGGGUGCAAGCGUUAAUCGGAAUUACUGGGCGUAAAGCGCGCGUAGGUGGUUCAGCAAGUUGGAUGUGAAAUCCCCGGGUCUCAACCUGGGAACUGCAUCAAAAACUACUGAGCUAGGAUACGGUAGAGCGUGGUGGAAUUUUCCUGUGUAGCAGUGAAAUGCGAUAGAUAUAGAAAGGGAACACCAGUGGCCGAAGGCGACCACCUGGCACUGAUACUGACACUGAUGUGCGAAAGCGUGGGGUAGCAUACCCGGAGUUAGAUACCCCUGGUAGUCCACGCCGUAAACGAUGUCGACUUAGCCGUUGG
This 757-nucleotide ribosomal RNA is filed under the name Pseudomonas sp. RNAcentral's name for it is "bacterial SSU rRNA". It matches the Rfam family "Bacterial small subunit ribosomal RNA", at positions 84 to 827 of the family's 1533-position model. The record is from RNAcentral. Lineage: Bacteria; Pseudomonadati; Pseudomonadota; Gammaproteobacteria; Pseudomonadales; Pseudomonadaceae.